CCAGCAGCCGCGGUAAUUCCAGCUCCAAUAGCGUAUAUUAAAGUUGUUGCAGUUAAAAAGCUCGUAGUUGGAUUUCUGGAGGGACAAGAUUGUCGGUCUGCGACUUGUGCAAUCAUGUCCUUCCAUCCUUCUGUUAACGGAGUCUGGCCUUCAAAAGUCGGAUUUCGGGCUCAGAUAUUUUACCUUGAGAAAAUUAGAGUGUUUCAGGCAGGCUUCACGCCGGAAUACAUUAGCAUGGAAUAAUAGAAUAGGACUUUAGUCUCUUUUGUUGGUUUGAGGGACUAGAGUAAUGAUUAAUAGGGAUAGUUGGGGGCAUUAGUAUUUAAUUGUCAGAGGUGAAAUUC
This 344-nucleotide ribosomal RNA is filed under the name uncultured eukaryote. RNAcentral describes it as "SSU rRNA". It matches the Rfam family "Eukaryotic small subunit ribosomal RNA", at positions 567 to 919 of the family's 1831-position model. The record is from RNAcentral.